This 443-nucleotide ribosomal RNA is filed under the name uncultured bacterium. Its description in RNAcentral is "partial 16S ribosomal RNA". It matches the Rfam family "Bacterial small subunit ribosomal RNA", at positions 338 to 795 of the family's 1533-position model. The record is from RNAcentral.
CCUACGGGAGGCAGCAGUGGGGAAUAUUGGGCAAUGGGCGCAAGCCUGCCCCAGCAACGCCGCGUGAAGGAAGAAGGCUUUCGGGUUGUACACUUCUUUUCUCAGGGACGAAGCAAGUGAAGGUACCUGCGGAAUAAGCCACGGCUAACUAAGUGCCAGCAGCCGCGGUAGUACGUAGGUGGCAAGCGUUAUCCGGAUUGACUGGGUGUAAAGGGCGUGGAGGUGGGAAAGGAAGUAAGAUGUGAAAACCAUGGGCUCAACCUGUGGCCUGCAUUUGAAACUGUUUGUGUUGAGUACUGGAGAGGCAGACGGAAUUCCUAGUGUAGCGGUGAAAUGCGUAGAUAUUAGGAGGAACCCCAGUGGCGAAGGCGGUCUGCUGGACAGCAACUGACGCUGAGGCGCGAAAGCGUGGGGAGCAAACAGGAUUAGAUACCCUUGUAGUC